AGGGGUGUAGUUCAGCGGUAGAACGUCGGUCUCCAAAACCGAAUGCCGUGGGUUCGAGUCCUGCCACCCCUGCCA
Molecule: transfer RNA, 75 nt
Filed under: Tissierellia bacterium
Lineage: Bacteria; Bacillati; Bacillota; Tissierellia
Description: tRNA-Trp
Rfam family: tRNA
About the family: Transfer RNA (tRNA) molecules are approximately 80 nucleotides in length. Their secondary structure includes four short double-helical elements and three loops (D, anti-codon, and T loops). Further hydrogen bonds mediate the characteristic L-shaped molecular structure. tRNAs have two regions of fundamental functional importance: the anti-codon, which is responsible for specific mRNA codon recognition, and the 3' end, to which the tRNAs corresponding amino acid is attached (by aminoacyl-tRNA synthetases). tRNAs cope with the degeneracy of the genetic code in two manners: having more than one tRNA (with a specific anti-codon) for a particular amino acid; and 'wobble' base-pairing, i.e. permitting non-standard base-pairing at the 3rd anti-codon position.
Source: RNAcentral